AAAACCUACGGCUCCACCCAUAUAGUGGAUCCAACUGUAAGUUUUGAUUCGAUCGUAUCAAUUAUAUUAGAGAACCGGUUUAGACUGGUUCGAUACAUUAUUUAUGUUAGAUUGUAUUUUGGUUUACUCUGAUUCAAGGGUAUAUAUACCAUGUAAUGUACACUUGAUUGUGAUGAGGAAUCAGAAACAGUUUGACGAUAUCUUUUGGAUUCUGUUUCACUGAUAUGGUAUCAGAGCAAUGCUUCCAGCUCUCUCUGUGAUUCCUCUUUCUUCUUCGAUCGAUUCUUCGUUUUCUCUUCGCAUUCUAGCUUCGAUCAUCCUCAUCAUCGUCUUCUUGAGCUUCGUUUACCAUUAGACGAGCUCGAUCUGCGAAAAUAUGGGGAAACGAGCUGGAAAAGCGAGAACUCGAAGCUCAACACCUGAAGAAGAUCAAUCCGCUACUC
RNAcentral lists this long non-coding RNA (443 nucleotides) under Brassica napus (rape). RNAcentral's name for it is "long non-coding RNA (BNAP_LNC008217)". The record is from RNAcentral. Lineage: Eukaryota; Viridiplantae; Streptophyta; Magnoliopsida; Brassicales; Brassicaceae.